CCGGCGCACGGGUGCGUAACGCGUAUACAAUCUACCUUGUAGAGGGGGAUAGCCCAGAGAAAUUUGGAUUAAUACCCCAUAGUAUUAUGGAACAGCAUUGUUUUAUGAUUAAACAUUUAUGGCUACAAGAUGAGUAUGCGUUCUAUUAGUUAGUAGGUAAGGUAACGGCUUACCUAGACUUCGAUAGAUAGGGGUCCUGAGAGGGAGAUCCCCCACACUGGUACUGAGACACGGACCAGACUCCUACGGGAGGCAGCAGUGAGGAAUAUUGGACAAUGGGCGAGAGCCUGAUCCAGCCAUGCCGCGUGCAGGAAGACGGCCCUAUGGGUUGUAAACUGCUUUUAUAGAGGAAGAAACCUCCCGACGUGUCGGGAUUUGACGGUACUCUACGAAUAAGGAUCGGCUAACUCCGUGCCAGCAGCCGCGGUAAUACGGAGGAUCCAAGCGUUAUCCGGAAUCAUUGGGUUUAAAGGGUCCGUAGGCGGGACAAUCAGUCAGCGGUGAAAGUCUGUGGCUCAACCAUAGAAUUGCCAUUGAUACUGUUGUUCUUGAAUACUUAUGAAGUGGUUGGAAUAUGUAGUGUAGCGGUGAAAU
This 594-nucleotide ribosomal RNA is filed under the name Gillisia sp. CPCC100580. RNAcentral's name for it is "bacterial SSU rRNA". It matches the Rfam family "Bacterial small subunit ribosomal RNA", at positions 95 to 687 of the family's 1533-position model. Lineage: Bacteria; Pseudomonadati; Bacteroidota; Flavobacteriia; Flavobacteriales; Flavobacteriaceae. The record is from RNAcentral.